CGGCCCAGACUCCUACGGGAGGCAGCAGUGGGGAAUCUUGCACAAUGGGCGAAAGCCUGAUGCAGCCAUGCCGCGUGAAUGAUGAAGGCCUUAGGGUUGUAAAGCACUUUCACUGGUGAAGAUGAUGACGGUAGCCAGAGAAGAAGCCCCGGCUAACUCCGUGCCAGCAGCCGCGGUAAUACGGAGGGGGCUAGCGUUGUUCGGAAUU
RNAcentral lists this ribosomal RNA (208 nucleotides) under Prasinoderma singulare. RNAcentral's name for it is "partial Bacterial small subunit ribosomal RNA". It matches the Rfam family "Bacterial small subunit ribosomal RNA", at positions 327 to 552 of the family's 1533-position model. The record is from RNAcentral. Lineage: Eukaryota; Viridiplantae; Prasinodermophyta; Prasinodermophyceae; Prasinodermales; Prasinodermaceae.